AAAAAAGCAAAAUGCAAGCAAAUAAAAUUUAUAAAACAUUUUAUAAUCUGAAGUUCUCAAUAACUUCUUAUAAGUAAACCUGGAAUCAAAAUGUGCUGGAUAGCUUUUACUAUUAUUUUACAUAGAAGAACCACCCCUUUAUUUUACCAGCCAGCGCUGUGAGCCCUAGCCCCCCGCGGGGGCGAGGGGCCCGUGCCUGCCGGAUCGCUAAGGCGCCAGAAGGAGCACGCACAAACAAAACGCACCCUCUUCCGCUGAACAGCUGCGCCUGCAACACACCUCCCAGCAACAAAGUAGAGCUCUUUUUAAUCAACUUUUGACGGAUAAUGAAUGCAAUUGCAUCUGUGACAAGUUGAAUAUCACCCAAAAGUAAGACCCUCAAUUAUUUCCUCUUAGAGUUCCCUCCCUUCUUUCUUCUAAUAGUUUCUUAAUACUCCUAAAAAGGUAAUUUAGUCUAAUAGCAAAGACUCGCAAGUAUAGAAUUUGACUGCUGUUUAAUGCUAUCUAAAAUGAAAAGCAUAUUAUAACAAACCACGACUCAUUAUCUUCACACAGCACACACAUUCUGCUAUCAACAAGAUUAGAAUGGGUAUGAUGCCUGGAAAGGCAUACUCAAAACAAUAAUCUAAAAAAGCAGCUGUUUCAGAAGCCACAAAAUGCAUUAGGGAUCUAAAUUCAUUAGCUGUUGCGUCUGCACAUGAACACAAGCGUCCUGGAUCUCAUCGGGAAGCAGCUGAACUCCUGCCUCCCCUCGCCUCCCCCACAGCAUGCUCCAGGCGUAACAGGCACCUUUUCCCUGGAAAUUGAAACAGGAGAAAACAGAGCAGAUCCCGCUUUUCCCCUCACCUUCUAACUGUCCCACUCAAGAAGCAAUGGACCUGAGAUCUGGGCCACAUAGUCUGAAGGUAUUCAAGCUCCUGCCUCCCACAGUAACCCUCCUGGUCAGCUACACUUUAAUUUGCUUGAGGCAUUUUUUUCCCCUUCCUUUUGAAGCUGGACCUGGUUCACCCAAAAAGGAAAGAUUGCCUGGGACAGAGGUAAAACAAAUCAGAAGUGAGCCUGAUGCCUAAGAGCUGGCAACACACUCUUGCCUCUUGACGCUGUUAUUCUGGGGGUUGGGGUUUGUUUUAACCUUUGGUCAUUUCAGUUUCAGAAAAAAAAGCACAAACCCACAACACACACAGGCUAGAGAGUAGACACCAGUAUUCCAGUUUCCUCACUCCUAGGUCACUACAGUUUAAUGAUUAAUGCAGUAUCAGAGAAGCUCCUACAUCUUGCCUUAUUGAAGUAGAACCACUGUGCAGCCAACAUAAACAGUGGACGUCCUCCCAGCUGGACUACAUUAGACUUCAGUGCUAGAAGAUGUGCAUCUCACUGUGCUAAGCCUAUGCAGAACAAGAUUUGAAGUCUCCCACUUCUCGGAUGAAUGCCUGAAUAUGCACAAUUACAUACCCAACAUAUUUCAAUAACAUGCUGUAAGUUCAGCUUCUGGUUUUGAAUCAAGUGGACAGACGUGCUUGAUGUACAGCCCCUUGAUCGAGACACUUCAGCUCCAGAGCAUACCAAGAAUUCAAGCUUACUACCAGUCUCUGCUUUUGCCAGUGGGUCAUUUUAGGUCCCACAUGGGCCUCAACAGAUCUGUUUGGAAGGAAUUACAAGCCAACAUCUAGAUACAUGCUGUCAACAUUUCAAGCUUCAUUAUUUUUAUUAGAUUGGAAUGCCAUUAUAGAUUUGAUAUUAGGCUUUAAAAAGCUUUUAAUAAAUCCAUUGAAAACCUA
This is a non-coding RNA of Phalacrocorax carbo (great cormorant), 1778 nucleotides long. NCBI's taxonomy places the organism in Eukaryota, Metazoa, Chordata, Aves, Suliformes, Phalacrocoracidae. The record is from RefSeq and is a predicted model, not a curated record.